Molecule: ribosomal RNA, 253 nt
Filed under: uncultured bacterium
Lineage: Bacteria
Description: partial 16S ribosomal RNA
Rfam family: Bacterial small subunit ribosomal RNA
Source: RNAcentral
UACAGAGGUCCCAAGCGUUGUUCGGAUUCACUGGGCGUAAAGGGUGCGUAGGCGGUCGGAUAAGUCUGAUGUGAAAUCUUCGAGCUCAACUCGGAAACUGCAUCGGAAACUAUUCGGCUAGAGGAUUGGAGGGGAGACUGGAAUUCUCGGUGUAGCAGUGAGAUGCGUAGAUAUCGAGAGGAACACCAGUGGCGAAGGCGAGUCUCUGGACAAUUCCUGACGCUGAGGCACGAAAGCUAGGGGAGCAAACAGG